This 502-nucleotide ribosomal RNA is filed under the name Fusarium culmorum. RNAcentral's name for it is "eukaryotic LSU rRNA". The stretch from base 152 to 305 matches the Rfam family "5.8S ribosomal RNA". The record is from RNAcentral. Lineage: Eukaryota; Fungi; Ascomycota; Sordariomycetes; Hypocreales; Nectriaceae.
UUACCGAGUUUACAACUCCCAAACCCCUGUGAACAUACCUUAUGUUGCCUCGGCGGAUCAGCCCGCGCCCCGUAAAAAGGGACGGCCCGCCGCAGGAACCCUAAACUCUGUUUUUAGUGGAACUUCUGAGUAUAAAAAACAAAUAAAUCAAAACUUUCAACAACGGAUCUCUUGGUUCUGGCAUCGAUGAAGAACGCAGCAAAAUGCGAUAAGUAAUGUGAAUUGCAGAAUUCAGUGAAUCAUCGAAUCUUUGAACGCACAUUGCGCCCGCCAGUAUUCUGGCGGGCAUGCCUGUUCGAGCGUCAUUUCAACCCUCAAGCCCAGCUUGGUGUUGGGAGCUGCAGUCCUGCUGCACUCCCCAAAUACAUUGGCGGUCACGUCGAGCUUCCAUAGCGUAGUAAUUUACAUAUCGUUACUGGUAAUCGUCGCGGCCACGCCGUUAAACCCCAACUUCUGAAUGUUGACCUCGGAUCAGGUAGGAAUACCCGCUGAACUUAAGCAU